UUGAAUUCCGUACAUGAAAACAAUCUUUUGGUGGUGGGAGAUUCUCGAUGUGAGGAUGAAGUUACCGAAAUAGACAAAAACGUUGUAAUACAAACAGAGAAAAAAAAGAUCACACACUAUACUACAACUAUAUUUGGUUGUGUGAAGAAAAUAAAAAGAAAAAAAUGUGUGAGAAAGAGAAAAAAAAGAGAGAAAGAGAUUAAAA
Molecule: long non-coding RNA, 205 nt
Filed under: Lathyrus oleraceus (garden pea)
Lineage: Eukaryota; Viridiplantae; Streptophyta; Magnoliopsida; Fabales; Fabaceae
Description: Pisum sativum (pea) long non-coding RNA (PSAT_LNC011045)
Source: RNAcentral